CUAAGCCUAGUAAGGGAGACGUAGGACAACGUCCAAAGCGUCCUAAAGGUCCUCAGUUUUCACACAACUUCGAAAAUCAAAAUAAGCACAAAAUCAACUUCAAUUCUCAUCAAAGUUGUCAUAUCACAAAUGAAUCACUCAAAAGGGGGCUGCAAUGCAUCACUCAAUAAUAAACAUGAGAAUAGAGACUUAACUCGUAAUGAAAAUAUGAAGAACAGGCAAUAAUAUGAUCUCAAGAAGGAGGCCAAACAUUUAAAAGCAGUAAAAUAAGCAUAAUUCAACCACAUGACAUUUAUGAUCAAUUUAGGUCUUUAAAAUAGGUUGUAAUGGGGCUAAGGGUAUAAGGUGAGGUGAGUGAGAAAUGAAAGGUAUGGAUAAUACAGAGUUUAAGGAACUCAAAAUGUGCGAGCAUACAACAAUUUAUUACAAGACUUCGAAUCAUCAUGCUUAGAUAUAUAUAUUCUUUUUUUUUUUUUUACAUGAUCACUUAGACUAUAAAGCCUUAUACCUCCAUUUAUUCUGAUUCACACUCCUUUCUUCCAUUUGAACAACCAUCAAUUUACUUUUAGGGCCAAGAAAGAAACUUGGAAAUGAAUUUUCAAUCAAUCACCACUUAACCACAACUUUUCUCUUUUCUUUCACGAAUUGAGUGAAGUUCUCUCUCUCUCUCUCUCUCUCUCUUUUUUUUUUUUUUCAAUAUGUAACACUGUAAUGACCCAAACCUAAAAUUCAUAUUUAAUUAGUAAUUUAUUAUACAGAAAGACAAUUUUGCCCUUUGACUAAAUUAUGAACUCAAAGUUGACUUUUUGACCGAAAAGGAAUUUGACAAUUCCACAUACACCGUUGUGUAGAGCACAAUGACACGAGUUCAUAGACACGAAGUGGACUCGAAUCGGAGUUUUAACGAAGAAAAUACGAUUAAAAUAUCAAGAGGGGCAAAAUGGUAAAUUGGAAAAUCAGAUUUUAUAAAACCUGUUUCUCUCUCUCUUCCCCAUCAGUUUCUCUCCCUUCUCUCUCUCUCUCUCUCUCCCGCGCGCGACGUCCGUCGCCCCCCUCCCCUUCCGAUCAACCCAGCCACCACCACAGGCCACCCCGACCUACGGCACCGGUACCGACGGGACUGCCUGGCCCUCACCGUCACGACCCGACCAUUCUCCGCCCACGAGCCGACCGGAGUUGGCCGGAAAAAGGAGAAAAUCGCCGGUUUUCGGGCUAAACUUCCAACCCUUCGUUCUCCUUCAAUUCUCCUCCAAAUCUUUCGAGUAAGGUAUGGAUUCUCAUCUAUUUUUCGUGCUCUAGCUGAUGGUUGGAUAGGUUUUUAUCAAUUUUAACCGUAGAUUGCCCAGUUUGUGAAUUGAAAUUCAGCCGGUUUUCGGCCUCCGUGUUCGGCCACUUCCGAUCAGUUUUUGGGGUUGGUCCAAGAACAAAAGUGGUUCCAAAUAUGGUGUUAUACCUAGGAUAGGAGUUUGGAGCCUUAGUUUUGAGAUUUUCCGGCGAUGCGUUAUCGCUUUGGACACCCAUCGCUGCCGGCGCGUGCGGCGGCGCGUGGGUGAGUGUGGUGCAUUGACACUGUGUUCUGAUGCGAUCCUUAGGUCGUCACGAGCGUAUAGGAAUUCGCGGAUCUCAAUUUGGAUACCGUUUGAGUCUCGAAGGGAUUUUCCAUAUUGUGCGAUUAUCGGGUUCAAUAUUGUUGAGCCGUUGGAUCGUAAUCAAUUUUAGAUAUGUUAUUCUCGAUAAUUUUAGAAACGUGUAGGAUUCGACGGAUUAUAAAUCGGAGUCCUGGAUACUCCGAAAUCGCGAACCCUAGGGCUAGGGUUGAGAAAUUAUGCGAUUACAGGAUUGUGAUCAAUCUGACCGUUCGAUUGACACCAAUACCCUCGGGACAUGUGUCCUAGAUAUAUUGGACCUUCUAGCGGCAUUCGGAUCAGAUUGUGAGGUCAUGGACCCGUGGGGUUCCGAAUUGACGUUUUGGACUUUAGCGCUUUUUGAGUCCUAAGAUACCGCUAAACUACCUCACGUGGAAGGAAAGCUGUUAUGGGCAUAGGGAUCACUUUAAAUUGACGCACGUACUUUUAGGAGCUGGGGGUAGGGUUUUUAAUUUAAUACUACAUUGUAUUAAUAGAAUAUUAUGGUCAUUGAAUCAGGCACCCGGGCACUAGUUGACCCGCAGGAGGGACCUUCAAGAGGUCCAGCGAGCUCAGACUAUUAGUGAGUGGACUCUUUGUUUUAAUAAAUGAAUUUAAGCAGUUCAGUUUCAGUUAUCAGCUGUUUUAUUCUGUUAACUAUUUUAUGUUGCAUGCUGCCGAGUGACAUUUCCUUAAAGAAUAUAGGAAUAGAUAUUCUUGUUCAUUAUCAGAUAAAUGGCAGCAGAAUUUUAAAGGUUACAGAAAGUUAAUUAGUCAACAGAUUUCCUUCAUAAACUUUAUAUUUUCUUAAAUCACCUUGUACCCAGAUAUUAAAUGUUGCCUUCGGAUUAUAUUUGUUGCAUUCGGUUUAGUCAGCAUGCUUGACAGUUGCCCCACGAGUUCCUUGGUACUCGAACUCGUGUGGAGCGAGUAAUACGGAUAAAGGUGGACUACGGUUCCCUGAAUCCUGCGAGUUACGGCUCGGACUGACUUCGUGUCACUGAGACCUGCGAGUAUGUGUCACCCAUGGUGAUGCAAGGAAUUGACGGAUAUAAGGAAUUGACGGAAGUAAGGGUACACCUAGGUGAUAGUUUAAACUGUUUUCAAAUGUAUAUAAUUAGCUACAUGCAUUGAUUUCAGAAAUAAAGAAAAUAAGCUAGUUUGUAUAACUGUUUUUACAGUGGGGUUAGUAUGUUCAUAUGGUAUUUUCUAAACUUUGUUUUUGGGUCCACUCACCCUUUUUGUUAUUUUGCGCCCCCAGGCAGUAGACGUGCACAGGAAUCCACCACCGGGCCACUUCCCAUCUUCCGCACCUUUCUUUGAUGUAGGAUUUUAUUUUGUAAACAGAUUCACUCUUUUGUACAUUUAGUAGUCGCUCUGAUGUUUUGCCCUAGACUGAGAUUUGAACUGUUGGAAUGUAUAUAUACAUAUGUAUACCUGUUUGGCAGUUGGUUGUAUAUAUGUAUACUUGUUUGGCAGGUGUGAAUGUUUUGGUAUUGAGCCAGUUACAAGGGAAACUCUGCCGGUUUUUCGGUAGAAGUCAACCUUGUUAUUU
This 3180-nucleotide long non-coding RNA is filed under the name Prunus persica (peach). RNAcentral's name for it is "long non-coding RNA (PPER_LNC003535)". Lineage: Eukaryota; Viridiplantae; Streptophyta; Magnoliopsida; Rosales; Rosaceae. The record is from RNAcentral.